RNAcentral lists this unclassified non-coding RNA (148 nucleotides) under soil metagenome. RNAcentral describes it as "partial internal transcribed spacer 1". The record is from RNAcentral.
CCGAGUUUACAACUCCCAAACCCCUGUGAACAUACCACUUGUUGCCUCGGCGGAUCAGCCCGCUCCCGGUAAAACGGGACGGCCCGCCAGAGGACCCCUAAACUCUGUUUCUAUACUGUAACUUCUGAGUAAAACCAUAAAUAAAUCA